Molecule: long non-coding RNA, 790 nt
Organism: Homo sapiens (human)
Lineage: Eukaryota; Metazoa; Chordata; Mammalia; Primates; Hominidae
Source: Ensembl
AUGGUUGCUAGGAGUUAGGAGUAGGGAGACUGAUCAACUACAAUGAAACCACACAAGAAAAAGUCUUGGGUUGAUGGUGCUGUUCUGUAUUUUUAUUAUGGUUGUGAUUACAUAACACUAUGUACUUAUCAGAAUUUAUAAAACUACACAAAAUCGGUAAAUUUUACAGUAGGUAAAAUUUUAAAAUUGCAUCUUCUUAGCAGUACCUGCUCUUUCAUAAGUUUUCUAGCUCCAUCUUCUUUUCCAUUUAUUCACUGAAAAAGUAAUUAUUAGUGGCUACAAGUUGCCAUACAUUGGAAUUAGAGAUAAACAUUAAAAAACAAGAUGAAAAUAUGUUUGCUUUCAUGGAGCUUACUAUCCACUCAGAGGAAAUAGGAGUUACGAAGGAAAAUGUAUAAUGUCGUCUGAUGAUACAGGGAUAUUAUAACCAAUUAAUGGAAAGAAACAUUUAAGACAACACCUUCCUCUAUGUUUACAUCAGGAUGCAUUUUUGUAAUUGAGGACUGGGGAUUCAAAGUGAACAUGAGUCACUGCCAUAAUGUUGCUUACAUACUAAUGGAGAAUGAAGACGAAAAGAUAACUGUAAGAAAUAUAAUACGUUAAACAGAAAAAAAUUCUUCAGGAUAAUGUUUAUCUGAAGUGGGGAAAAGAAAGGAGAAAAUAUAGGGUCAGAAUUAAACUGUAUAUGGAAAUUCUAUUUUCCAAAGGACAUAAAUAGAAAAAAAAAAAAAAAAAAACUAGAGACCUGAGACAGCAAUGGUCAACUAUUAAAAUCAUUUCAAACUUAUCA